GUGACGCCAGCGGGAGGUAGGGGACGGUCGUGGAGCUGGGCUGGAUAAUGAGAGGAGGGAGGAAAAUGGGCCAGCGAGGUGGAGAUGGGCUCCUGUUGGCGCCAGAUAGAGAGGAGGAAAACCCUGGGGUUUUCCUAUUUUGAAACAAAGCCAACAAACAAUUAACUCCUAGGAAAAAUUAUGGCUCCAAAAAUAAAAAUAAAA
RNAcentral lists this long non-coding RNA (204 nucleotides) under Hordeum vulgare. RNAcentral describes it as "long non-coding RNA (HVUL_LNC012405)". Lineage: Eukaryota; Viridiplantae; Streptophyta; Magnoliopsida; Poales; Poaceae. The record is from RNAcentral.